Molecule: ribosomal RNA, 420 nt
Filed under: uncultured Gemella sp.
Lineage: Bacteria; Bacillati; Bacillota; Bacilli; Caryophanales; Gemellaceae
Description: bacterial SSU rRNA
Rfam family: Bacterial small subunit ribosomal RNA
Source: RNAcentral
UAGGGAAUCUUCCGCAAUGGACGAAANAGUCUGACGGAGCAACGCCGCGUGNGUGAAGAAGGAUUUCGGUUCGUAAAGCUCUGUUGUUAGGGAAGAAAGGUUGUGUAGUAACUAUACACAAAACAGACGGUACCUAACCAGAAAGCCACGCGGGUAACUACGUGCCAGCAGCCGCGGUAAUACGUAGGUGGCAAGCGUUGUCCGGAAUAAUUUGGGCGUAAAGCGCGCGCAGNNUGUGGUUUAGAAAGUCUGAUGUGAAAGCCCGUACGNGCCCCUCAACCGUGGAAGGUCAUUUGGAAACUGAUAAACUUGAGUGCCGGGAGAGAAAAGUGGAAUUCCUAGUGUAUGGCGGUGAAAUGCGUAGAGAUUAGGAGGAACACCCAAGGGCUGGCGAAGGCGGCUUUUUGGCCUGCAACUGAC